CCCGGGGCAACGCUCCGGCUCUCACUAGGGUGAACUCUAGCCCUGGAGCUACAGGCUAGAGUUCACUCUCACCACUUCCUGGUGGUCGCAGUAGUAAGAGUGAACUCUAGCCCCAUACACACACUGCCCCCCCACACACACACCAUACAUAUUCACACACUGCCCCCCCACACACAAUACACAUUCACACACUGCCCCUCCACACCCACACACUGAACCUCUCACACACAUUGCACCCCUCACACAUUGCACCACUGCUCCUAUACCCUACUGCAGCCCCAUAUCCCAGCAGACUCCAGGUAAGUUUGACUACUUACUCUGGGAGGGGGUGCCGACACUCCUG
Molecule: non-coding RNA, 343 nt
Organism: Pelobates cultripes (western spadefoot toad)
Lineage: Eukaryota; Metazoa; Chordata; Amphibia; Anura; Pelobatidae
Source: the annotation of a GenBank genome assembly